UUAAAAGUGCUGACGGAAAAAAGUAAAUUUCCUUUCCCGGCGCAGAGAACCGAUGGAUGGUGAAAAUCGGUGCGGGCAGGAAGUCGAAGUUCUUUCCUGAACUGCUUUGCUGAAAUAACAGUAGGCAUUGCCGGAGUGGCUCACGUUAAGCGGCUGAGAGUUGAUCUGAUGAAGUAGGGUGGUACCACGGAAUAUCCGUCCCUUGGGUGCCGCCUUUUUUGUUUCUUUUUCAUCAGGUAAACAGGGUGGUACCGCGAUGAGUCCCGUCGUCCCUUGC
This 277-nucleotide non-coding RNA is filed under the name Dialister invisus. RNAcentral's name for it is "T-box sequence". The stretch from base 1 to 206 matches the Rfam family "T-box leader". Rfam says of the family: Uncharged tRNA acts as the effector for transcription antitermination of genes in the T-box leader family. T-boxes are found upstream of many aminoacyl-tRNA synthetase genes and some amino acid biosynthetic genes usually in Gram-positive bacteria. Lineage: Bacteria; Bacillati; Bacillota; Negativicutes; Veillonellales; Veillonellaceae. The record is from RNAcentral.